This 497-nucleotide ribosomal RNA is filed under the name uncultured bacterium. Its description in RNAcentral is "bacterial SSU rRNA". It matches the Rfam family "Bacterial small subunit ribosomal RNA", at positions 791 to 1289 of the family's 1533-position model. The record is from RNAcentral.
UAGUCCACGCCGUAAACGAUCAUCACUCGCUGUUGGCGAUAUACUGUCAGCGGCCAAGCGAAAGUAUUAAGUGAUGCACCUGGGGAGUACGCCGGCAACGGUGAAACUCAAAGGAAUUGACGGGGGCCCGCACAAGCGGUGGAGCAUGUGGUUUAAUUCGAUGAUACGCGAGGAACCUUACCAGGGCUUAAAUGUAGUAUGACCGGUCUGGAAACAGGCCUUCCCUUCGGGGCAGAUUACAAGGUGCUGCAUGGUUGUCGUCAGCUCGUGCCGUGAGGUGUUAGGUUAAGUCCUGCAACGAGCGCAACCCCUAUUCUUAGUUGCCAGCGGUUCGGCCGGGGACUCUAAGAAGACUGCCGGUGCAAACCGAGAGGAAGGUGGGGAUGACGUCAAAUCAUCACGGCCCUUACGUCCUGGGGCCACACACGUGCUACAAUGGGUAUGGGACAAUGAGCAGCCAUCUGGCAACAGAGAGCAAAUCUAAUAAACCAUAUCAC